CAGGGGGUCGAACUCAAUGAUCUAUUGAGGUCCCUUCCAACCCUAACAUCUAUGAAUCUAUGAAUCUAUACUUCAUUGCUGUGCAGGUGGCAUCAUCAUUGUGGGACAGAACUCCACCUGGGAUUUCCGUGAUGAGAACGUCCCCUAGAGCUGUGGUUGCCAACCUUUUUAGACUGCAGACUGGCAUACCGUGACCGAAAGCAGAACCUUUCAUAGAUUGAAAGAAAGAAGAAGGAAGAAAAGGUAGAAGAGGAAAAACAUAUUUAAAGAGGGGAGAGCAAAUGCAGGCAAGAGGAAAAGGGAGCUUUCUGCUACACCACAACAUUUGAUUCCCAAGCCAUGCUGAAGUCUGCAGAUCUUAGCAAGAGGAUACCUAGGAAUUUAGACCUCAUUAGGUCCCUGCUUUCAGCUGUCUUGAGUGUAAGUGAGGAGAUCAUCGCAAAAAAGGCAACCUAAUGGCAGCCAUAAGCCUUUGGUGUUUGCAAACUACCAUCAAAAAGGGAGCAAAUCUACUACCUUGGUGUGAGUAAAAUAGGUCUGGAUCCCAGGGCCUCUUGCCUAAAAGCACUACAAAAAACCUAAAUCCAGGUCUUGGACCCUCUCCCCACCACCUUUCUGAGGCACCCACUAGGUGGGCUAUUGUGAGAGUGGACAACUGUUUGGCUAUCUCCAUUCUCCUCCUUCACUUACAUACCUCCUCCAUGAACAUAGGGCAGGGAGUCAAGGGAGUCUGCACCUUGCCAUUAAGAGCGUAGGCAGGACCAGCCCUAGCAGCAGACAGGGGCUGAAAUCUUCCAAAAGGGGAAGUUUGACACAACAGGGAAAUCACGGAGCCUUCAAGUGUCCCUAGUGAACACUGCAAAACCUGGAGUUCCCUGAAUGGUGAUUCUGAACUGCAGGGCCCCUGGGCUCCAUGCAUCAAGGCAAAGGUGGUGUGAUGGGCUAGGUGGUAGUGACUUAGCCCAGGGGUUUUGAAAGGAUAAAAGAUGAUUGGAGGACUUGGGAUUCCCUUUCCUCACCAAUCUGUUAAUGAUUUGGCCCAGAGGUUUU
Molecule: long non-coding RNA, 1050 nt
Organism: Alligator sinensis (Chinese alligator)
Lineage: Eukaryota; Metazoa; Chordata; Crocodylia; Alligatoridae
Exons: 3
Source: RefSeq, a predicted model, not a curated record